This 1458-nucleotide ribosomal RNA is filed under the name uncultured organism. Its description in RNAcentral is "SSU rRNA". It matches the Rfam family "Bacterial small subunit ribosomal RNA". The record is from RNAcentral.
AACGCUGGCGGCAGGCCUAACACAUGCAAGUCGAACGGUAACAGGAAGAAGCUUGCUUCUUUGCUGACGAGUGGCGGACGGGUGAGUAAUGUCUGGGAAACUGCCUGAUGGAGGGGGAUAACUACUGGAAACGGUAGCUAAUACCGCAUAACGUCGCAAGACCAAAGAGGGGGACCUUCGGGCCUCUUGCCAUCGGAUGUGCCCAGAUGGGAUUAGCUAGUAGGUGGGGUAACGGCUCACCUAGGCGACGAUCCCUAGCUGGUCUGAGAGGAUGACCAGCCACACUGGAACUGAGACACGGUCCAGGCUCCUACGGGAGGCAGCAGUGGGGAAUAUUGCACAAUGGGCGCAAGCCUGAUGCAGCCAUGCCGCGUGUAUGAAGAAGGCCUUCGGGUUGUAAAGUACUUUCAGCGGGGAGGAAGGGAGUAAAGUUAAUACCUUUGCUCAUUGACGUUACCCGCAGAAGAAGCACCGGCUAACUCCGUGCCAGCAGCCGCGGUAAUACGGAGGGUGCAAGCGUUAAUCGGAAUUACUGGGCGUAAAGCGCACGCAGGCGGUUUGUUAAGUCAGAUGUGAAAUCCCCGGGCUCAACCUGGGAACUGCAUCUGAUACUGGCAAGCUUGAGUCUCGUAGAGGGGGGUAGAAUUCCAGGUGUAGCGGUGAAAUGCGUAGAGAUCUGGAGGAAUACCGGUGGCGAAGGCGGCCCCCUGGACGAAGACUGACGCUCAGGUGCGAAAGCGUGGGGAGCAAACAGGAUUAGAUACCCUGGUAGUCCACGCCGUAAACGAUGUCGACUUGGAGGUUGUGCCCUUGAGGCGUGGCUUCCGGAGCUAACGCGUUAAGUCGACCGCCUGGGGAGUACGGCCGCAAGGUUAAAACUCAAAUGAAUUGACGGGGGCCCGCACAAGCGGUGGAGCAUGUGGUUUAAUUCGAUGCAACGCGAAGAACCUUACCUGGUCUUGACAUCCACGGAAGUUUUCAGAGAUGAGAAUGUGCCUUCGGGAACCGUGAGACAGGUGCUGCAUGGCUGUCGUCAGCUCGUGUUGUGAAAUGUUGGGUUAAGUCCCGCAACGAGCGCAACCCUUAUCCUUUGUUGCCAGCGGUCCGGCCGGGAACUCAAAGGAGACUGCCAGUGAUAAACUGGAGGAAGGUGGGGAUGACGCCAAGUCAUCAUGGCCCUUACGACCAGGGCUACACACGUGCUACAAUGGCGCAUACAAAGAGAAGCGACCUCGCGAGAGCAAGCGGACCUCAUAAAGUGCGUCGUAGUCCGGAUUGGAGUCUGCAACUCGACUCCAUGAAGUCGGAAUCGCUAGUAAUCGUGGAUCAGAAUGCCACGGUGAAUACGUUCCCGGGCCUUGUACACACCGCCCGUCACACCAUGGGAGUGGGUUGCAAAAGAAGUAGGUAGCUUAACCUUCGGGAGGGCGCUUACCACUUUGUGAUUCAUGACUGGGG